UAUGCCAGAGAUUUUAACUUUGAGAAUUUGAAUUCGGUGCUGCUGCUGCUGCUUUCUUCAUCUGAUCUUGUUCCACCUAUUAUCUCCUUCAUCUUGUGACAUCCUGCAACUGAAAUCUUUUCUAGGUGUACGAGGGAAAUCCAAGAAGAUGGAACCAAGAUCUCCAUGCUGUUGCAAUUCCGUACUGCAAUUUGUUGGAGAGAAUCGCAAAUCAGGUUUGCACUCCAAAUUCUUUUCAGUUCUGGUAAAUCUUCCAAUGCUAGAGAUCUUAACUUUGAGAAUUUGAAUUUGGUGCUGCUGCUGCUGCUUUCUUCAUCUGAUCUUAUUCCACCUAUUAUCUCCUUCAUCUUCUUACAUCUUGCAACUGAAAUCUUUUCUAGGUUUACGAGGGAAAUCCAAGAAGAUGGAACCAAGCUCUCCAUGCUGUUGCAAUUCCGUACUUCAAUUUGUUGGAGAGAAUCGGAAAUAAGUUUUGCACUACAAAUUCUUUUCAGUUCUGGUAACCGACUCAAUUUCAUAGAUCUUAAC
RNAcentral lists this long non-coding RNA (528 nucleotides) under Populus trichocarpa (black cottonwood). Its description in RNAcentral is "long non-coding RNA (PTRI_LNC004316)". Lineage: Eukaryota; Viridiplantae; Streptophyta; Magnoliopsida; Malpighiales; Salicaceae. The record is from RNAcentral.